CGAGGCACUCGCUUCCUUUCUGAUUGGGUUUUGUCACUUUAAUCUUACAGGGCUGAGUGCUUUUUGUGU
Enterococcus sp. is the source of this 69-nucleotide non-coding RNA. The record is from Rfam. NCBI's taxonomy places the organism in Bacteria, Bacillati, Bacillota, Bacilli, Lactobacillales, Enterococcaceae.